GAUAAGCAAAAUUAAUGAAUUUAAUCCAAAAUAAUAGUACUCAUGUUCUUGGAUUUAACCAAGGAAAAAGGAUUUUUAGCUGAUAAUAUUCAUAAUCAUGAUCCAAUUAAUUGAAUACAUGAUAUGAAAAAUUAAACACUAAUUAAAGAAUCAAAAACCUAAUAAAAAAUAUGUGGCAGCCACCGAAAUUACUCCACUAUCAUGUCCAGCAGUUCUCUUGUACGUGUCCACACUUUUCAUCAUGUUCCAUGGUAUCUUCUGUUUGUAUUUAUAAUAUAUCAUAGGCCUAAUCAUAGUGGAUUAAGAAAUGGGAACGUCAUCCAAGAAACUCCCAUCAAAGAUUCCUUAAAAUCCCAUGCAAAUUGAAUCAAAUUAGGACUUGAUCAAAAUUUAAUCAGUGCAACAGAUGAUGUAUCGCACGAUGUGUUAAUCCAAAUUGGAUCAUACAACGCAUGCAUAUAGCACGAUUGCACUGGAAUUUCAGUAUUAAAAUUUCUCUAAGUCAAGGGAUCCCUACAAUGGAGGGUGCAAUGCACGCUCAUCGCAUGCACCUGCUGAAAAUUGUGUCCAAAUUUUUGGUUAAGUCUUCAUCAUCCUAUCCUUUGGCCAUGCCUUUUGUAGUGUAUUUUCAAUAAAUUUUUGACCUUUAAAUUAAAAAUAUAUCACCGUAUUUAGAUAACUAAUCCUCC
This 689-nucleotide long non-coding RNA is filed under the name Capsicum annuum. Its description in RNAcentral is "long non-coding RNA (CANN_LNC008292)". Lineage: Eukaryota; Viridiplantae; Streptophyta; Magnoliopsida; Solanales; Solanaceae. The record is from RNAcentral.